UACGUAGGGUGCAAGCGUUGUCCGGAAUUAUUGGGCGUAAAGAGCUCGUAGGCGGUCUGUCGCGUCUGCUGUGAAAACGUGGGGCUCAACCCCGCGCGUGCAGUGGGUACGGGCAGACUGGAGUGCAGUAGGGGAGACUGGAAUUCCUGGUGUAGCGGUGAAAUGCGCAGAUAUCAGGAGGAACACCGGUGGCGAAGGCGGGUCUCUGGGCUGUUACUGACGCUGAGGAGCGAAAGCGUGGGGAGCGAACAGG
RNAcentral lists this ribosomal RNA (253 nucleotides) under uncultured Actinomycetales bacterium. RNAcentral's name for it is "partial 16S ribosomal RNA". It matches the Rfam family "Bacterial small subunit ribosomal RNA", at positions 524 to 776 of the family's 1533-position model. Lineage: Bacteria; Bacillati; Actinomycetota; Actinomycetes; Actinomycetales. The record is from RNAcentral.